GACGAACGCUGGCGGCGUGCUUAACACAUGCAAGUCGAGCGGUAAGGCCCUUUCGGGGGUACACGAGCGGCGAACGGGUGAGUAACACGUGGGUGACCUGCCCUCAGCUCUGGGAUAAGCCUGGGAAACUGGGUCUAAUACCGGAUAUGACUCCAUGACGCAUGUUGUGGGGUGGAAAGCCUUGUGCGGCUGAGGAUGGGCCCGCGGCCCAUCAGCUUGUUGGUGGGGUGAUGGCCUACCAAGGCGACGACGGGUAGCCGGCCUGAGAGGGCGACCGGCCACACUGGGACUGAGACACGGCCCAGACUCCUACGGGAGGCAGCAGUGGGGAAUCUUGCGCAAUGGCCGAAAGGCUGACGCAGCGACGCCGCGUGUGGGAUGAAGCAUUUCGGUGUGUAAACCACUGUUGCCCGGGACGAACACACUCUUUCGAGAGUGCUGACGGUACCGGGUGAGGAAGCACCGGCUAACUCCGUGCCAGCAGCCGCCGCAGUAAU
This 497-nucleotide ribosomal RNA is filed under the name uncultured bacterium. RNAcentral describes it as "bacterial SSU rRNA". It matches the Rfam family "Bacterial small subunit ribosomal RNA", at positions 28 to 524 of the family's 1533-position model. The record is from RNAcentral.